CCUACGGGUGGCAGCAGUGAGGAAUAUUGGUCAAUGGACGAGAGUCUGAACCAGCCAAGUAGCGUGAAGGAUGACGGCCCUAUGGGUUGUAAACUUCUUUUAUAGGGGAAUAAAAUGGUCCACGUGUGGGAUUUUGUAUGGACCAUAUGAAUAAGGAUCGGCUAACUCCGUGCCAGCAGCCGCGGUAAUACGGAGGAUCCGAGCGUUAUCCGGAUUUAUUGGGGUUAAAGGGAGCGUAGGGGGAUUGUUAAGUCAGUUGUGAAAGUUUGCGGCUCAACCGUAAAAUUGCCGUUGAAACUGGCAGUCUUGAGUACAGUAUAGGUGGGCGGAAUUCGUGGUGUAGCGGUGACCUGCUUAGCUAUCACGCAGAACUCCGAUUGC
This 381-nucleotide ribosomal RNA is filed under the name uncultured bacterium. RNAcentral's name for it is "partial 16S ribosomal RNA". It matches the Rfam family "Bacterial small subunit ribosomal RNA", at positions 338 to 716 of the family's 1533-position model. The record is from RNAcentral.